UUGACCUCAAAUCAGGUAGGACUACCCGCUGAACUUAAGCAUAUCAAUAAGCGGAGGAAAAGAAACUAACAAGGAUUCCCCUAGUAACUGCGAGUGAAGAGGGAAGAGCUCAAAUUUGAAAUCUGGCAGUGUUUUGCUGUCCGAGUUGUAAUCUAGAGAAGUGCUGCCCGUGCUGGACCAUGUACAAGUCUCCUGGAAUGGAGCGUCACAGAGGGUGAGAAUCCCGUCUUUGACAUG
Molecule: ribosomal RNA, 237 nt
Filed under: Amanita pantherina
Lineage: Eukaryota; Fungi; Basidiomycota; Agaricomycetes; Agaricales; Amanitaceae
Description: partial 26S ribosomal RNA
Rfam family: Eukaryotic large subunit ribosomal RNA
Source: RNAcentral